ACAGAAAAACACUUUCCGGUCAAACUAAUGUUCAUGUUCGUAUCUGUUUAUGCAUAAUCAUGCAUGUCAGACAAAUUUCUGAAUGUCUGAUGUCAUCAACUUUUUCUGAAUUUAUUUUGCCCAAAAUUAUUGGAUAUGAAUAGGCAUAAUUAAGCCUGUUCAUGCCGUCAGUUUUCAUAUUUAAUCGGGUCUAAAAACUUAUGUUUGAUCAGGCCUGAUCAUAUCGUUUCCCCAUAAUAAUACACAAUUAAUUGAACAGUGGUCAAAACUUGAUCGUAAAUAUUCCAUCGAAGAGCGCGGAUUAAAACUAAUGUUACAAACUGAUAAUGAAAAAGUAAUAAUACGACAAAAGACAAAUAAUUUUGAUGAUUGGGAAAUAGCUAUAUUUGGAUGUAAACUUUCAUCAAUUAAUAAUAGAGUAAAAAAUGACCUUAAUAAGUUUGUGAUGAUCGGAUAUAUUAAUCAUUAGAAAAGGAAGGCGUAUUCCUAUUGCUUGAGUGAUGUCUGAACUUCCGUCAAUUGCAGCAUGGAAAAAAUGUCUCAGAAAAAUAUAAUUGAUUACUCAUGUUUAUGACGCUUUUAUAUUUAUAUAUCAAACUAAUUGUCUAAUAGUUUU
Long non-coding RNA from Cotesia glomerata, 616 nucleotides. RefSeq lists it as uncharacterized. The transcript is spliced from 3 exons. The record is from RefSeq and is a predicted model, not a curated record. Lineage: Eukaryota; Metazoa; Arthropoda; Insecta; Hymenoptera; Braconidae.